Salmo salar (Atlantic salmon) is the source of this 762-nucleotide long non-coding RNA. RefSeq lists it as uncharacterized. Lineage: Eukaryota; Metazoa; Chordata; Actinopteri; Salmoniformes; Salmonidae. The record is from RefSeq and is a predicted model, not a curated record.
AGUUCCACAUCAGAGAACCAAUAAUAGUUGUGUCCACGGCUUUCAGAGGAGUUCAUAGGUGCUAUUCAGAAUCCUUGGGGUGUCCCUUCAGUCGAAUACAGCAGUUCAUAGACUUUCCCAGAUGGUCCGUGCUAUUCGGGAUGUCCAUACCUCUAUCAAGUAUAAAUAAAAGUAAAUUGGUAAGUUUAGUGUUAGUUUAGGGUUCAGGGUAAGGACGUCCCAAGGAAUCUGGAUUGCAGUGACCGUUCAUAGAGUGAGAGACUGGCACGGUAUUUGAGAGCUCUGCGGCGACACAGACAUUCAUUUUUAUUAAUUUUUUUUACAAGCGGCAGAAGCGAUAGUUUCAUUAGAGACGAUGAAAAUAAUUACCCAGAUGUAUUUGAUCCAGUUGAGGAUCAAGAAGAUUGGUUGAUCUGGCUCAUCACAUCAGCUUCACUGCAGCUGCUCAACCCACCCCCCUCACUGUUCUCCCUCCACAAGUAACCACAUCCUCUUCUCCUGAUCAACUACUGUGCCACCACACUAAAAAUGACUGUACAUAUACCCCUGUGCCCAUCUCAGUGUAACAUGAUCCAUCCAAGGCUUCAGCUAAAUGUAAGCAAGAUGCUAUAGUAUGUGUGUGUAUGUAUGUAUGUAUGCAUGCAUGCAUGCAUGUAUGCAUGUAUGUAUGGAGUUCCAAGUAAAGACUUGAGAAGAUGGCAAAGGAGAUAGUGAUGUGUGAGAGCAUACAGUAUAAAAAUAAAGACCCCUUGGGAUCUAAAA